RNAcentral lists this ribosomal RNA (303 nucleotides) under uncultured bacterium. RNAcentral describes it as "bacterial SSU rRNA". It matches the Rfam family "Bacterial small subunit ribosomal RNA", at positions 355 to 674 of the family's 1533-position model. The record is from RNAcentral.
UCGGGAAUAUUGCGCAAUGGAGGAAACUCUGACGCAGUGACGCCGCGUAUAGGAAGAAGGUUUUCGGAUUGUAAACUAUUUUAGUCAGGGAAGAAAAAAGACGGUACCUGAAGAAUAAGCUCCGGCUAACUACGUGCCAGCAGCCGCGGUAAUACGUAGGGAGCAAGCGUUAUCCGGAAUUAUUGGGUGUAAAGGGUGCGUAGACGGGAAUACAAGUUAGUUGUGAAAGCCCUCGGCUUAACUGAGGAACUGCAACUAAAACUAUAUUUCUUGAGUGCAGGAGAGGAAAGCGGAAUUCCUAGU